AAGGUCUCAUCAAUUUUAUUUAUUUAAUCACAUUCAAAUAAAUAAUGUCCUAUUACAACUACUAGUCCAAAGUUAAUGAAAUUAGUAGCAUAUGAUAUCCCCACUAUUCGUUUUCAUAAAACAAAUCAAUAUCAAAAUAUUUUUCAAAAUAUUGGAGAUAUAUAUAACUACUAAUUGUAUUCAUUAUAGUUUAGUAGCGUAUGAUACUCCCACUAUUUGUUUUAAGAAAAACAAAUCAAUAUCAAAAACGAAUUUUUUAAAUAUUGGAAGUAACUACUACUACUAAGGUUUUUGCAUUCCUUUGAAAUUGGACUUUAUAGUUAUCUUAGGCUCUUGGAUGACCAUGGACUUAUUAGGUUAUUGCAACAAUGAGCCAACAUUGUUGAAUAUAAACUCGGGGAGGUUGUGUCAAUUUAAUUACGUGCUUUUCAAUCCAAUUAAAACAUUUUCAUUGAGCCAUUAGAAAUGAAAGACAAUCAUUCAUUGCUAAUUAGGGCAUUGGACCCAUUUAAUCUUUAAUCUCAUGUCAAAACCCUCUUUUAGUUAUGUCUCCUUACCAAUAGUUAAAGAAACUCUAGUCUAGCACUAGAGGGAAUCAACUAACUAAAAGAGAUUAAGAAAUAAUAAGAAUUACAAACCGAUUUGUACAAAUUCCUACAAAUUCAAACGUGACAAGGUCCAAUUAAAAGAGUAAUUAAAACACAUUCCCAAGGUUCAAACAAUUUGAUUUUAGCGCCUUAUCUCAUAGCUCAAUUAUCGUUUAAGGCAUAAGUCCAUAGUCACCCAUUUUUCUAACUACUUAAUCACAUUAAAUAAUCAAAUGGAAUGCAACAUAAACAAUUAGAUUUAGUGCAUAUGGGCAUAAUAGUAUUAUGAGUUUAAACAACUAACAAAAUUAAAAUCAAUUAUUUUAACUUUCUAGUUAGUAGGGGCCUAAAUGCAAAUAUGAAAAAGUUAGGGGUCAAACCGUAAAUACUUAAAAGUAUAAAAUAUCUUUUUCCAAAUUACAAAAAACCCCACAAGUGGAUAAAUCCACUAGGGUGGCCGGCCACAUUAAGGGGAGAUGGGAAGUCUCACCCAUCUUGCUUUAAUUCAAUGCAAGGUAGAAAAAUCCAAAUUUGCUUGUCACUUGGUUGUCAUUAAAACUUAGGUGAAAAGGGUGAUGGAAAUUUCCUAGUCAAGUCUAGGAUUUAAAAAAUUUUGGGAAGGCUAUGGAUGAUAAGUAUAUCAUCCAAAACCAUAAAACAAUUUAUUAAAACCAAAUAAAACCAUUUUCACCCAAAAACAAACCAUGAACACCAAGAACAAAACCAUGAACACUUUUUCAAGAUUUGUGUAUUCUUGGUGAUUUUUCAAACCCAAAAACUAAAGUGACAAGGGCUCUACUUUCUAGCUUUAAAAUGAUGUGUGAGUGUCUUACAAUCAAGGAAGAAAAUAUCGGUAAUAUCAAAAAUAUCGGUAGUCCGAAAACACGGAAAUAUCGAUGGAAAUAUCGGGAUAAUAUCGAUAUCGAUAAA
RNAcentral lists this long non-coding RNA (1517 nucleotides) under Malus domestica (apple). Its description in RNAcentral is "long non-coding RNA (MDOM_LNC015526)". Lineage: Eukaryota; Viridiplantae; Streptophyta; Magnoliopsida; Rosales; Rosaceae. The record is from RNAcentral.